AGUAGCUCAAUUGGCAGAGUGGCGGUCUCCAAAACCGCAGGUUAUGGGUUCGAUUCCCUUCUGG
This 64-nucleotide transfer RNA is filed under the name zebrafish metagenome. It matches the Rfam family "tRNA", at positions 6 to 65 of the family's 71-position model. Rfam says of the family: Transfer RNA (tRNA) molecules are approximately 80 nucleotides in length. Their secondary structure includes four short double-helical elements and three loops (D, anti-codon, and T loops). Further hydrogen bonds mediate the characteristic L-shaped molecular structure. tRNAs have two regions of fundamental functional importance: the anti-codon, which is responsible for specific mRNA codon recognition, and the 3' end, to which the tRNAs corresponding amino acid is attached (by aminoacyl-tRNA synthetases). tRNAs cope with the degeneracy of the genetic code in two manners: having more than one tRNA (with a specific anti-codon) for a particular amino acid; and 'wobble' base-pairing, i.e. permitting non-standard base-pairing at the 3rd anti-codon position. The record is from RNAcentral.